This 413-nucleotide ribosomal RNA is filed under the name uncultured bacterium. RNAcentral describes it as "bacterial SSU rRNA". It matches the Rfam family "Bacterial small subunit ribosomal RNA", at positions 505 to 916 of the family's 1533-position model. The record is from RNAcentral.
GUGUAGCAGCCGCGGUAAUACGUAGGGUGCAAGCGUUAUCCGGCUUUAUUGGGCGUAAAGAGCUCGUAGGCGGUUCGUCGCGUCUGGUGUGAAAGUCCAUCGCUUAACGGUGGAUCGGCGCCGGGUACGGGCGGACUGGAGUGCGGUAGGGGAGACUGGAAUUCCCGGUGUAACGGUGGAAUGUGUAGAUAUCGGGAAGAACACCGAUGGCGAAGGCAGGUCUCUGGGCCGUCACUGACGCUGAGGAGCGAAAGCGUGGGGAGCGAACAGGAUUAGAUACCCUGGUAGUCCACGCCGUAAACGGUGGAUGCUGGAUGUGGGGCCCGUUCCACGGGUUCCGUGUCGGAGCUAACGCGUUAAGCAUCCCGCCUGGGGAGUACGGCCGCAAGGCUAAAACUCAAAUAAAUUGACGG